Molecule: ribosomal RNA, 173 nt
Filed under: uncultured bacterium
Lineage: Bacteria
Description: partial 16S ribosomal RNA
Rfam family: Bacterial small subunit ribosomal RNA
Source: RNAcentral
AAUCGCUAGUAAUCGCGGAUCAGAAUGCCGCGGUGAAUACGUUCCCGGGCCUUGUACACACCGCCCGUCACACCAUGAGAGUCGGGAACACCCGAAGCCCGUAGCCUAACUUGCAAGAGGGGGCGCGGUCGAAGGUGGGUUCGAUAAUUGGGGUGAAGUCGUAACAAGGUAAC